Molecule: ribosomal RNA, 253 nt
Filed under: uncultured bacterium
Lineage: Bacteria
Description: partial 16S ribosomal RNA
Rfam family: Bacterial small subunit ribosomal RNA
Source: RNAcentral
UACGUAGGGUCCGAGCGUUGUCCGGAAUUAUUGGGCGUAAAGGGCUCGUAGGCGGUUUGUCGCGUCGGGAGUGAAAACUCAGGGCUUAACCCUGAGCGUGCUUCCGAUACGGGCAGACUAGAGGUAUGCAGGGGAGAACGGAAUUCCUGGUGUAGCGGUGGAAUGCGCAGAUAUCAGGAGGAACACCGGUGGCGAAGGCGGUUCUCUGGGCAUUACCUGACGCUGAGGAGCGAAAGCAUGGGGAGCGAACAGG